CUCAAAGGAAUUGACGGGACCCCGCACAAGCGGUGGAUUAUGUUGUUUAAUUCGACGCAACGCGAAGAACCUUACCAGGCCUUGACAUACUCGGCAAAGCUCUAGAGAUAGAGUGGAGGUUAUCCGGGAUACAGGUGGUGCAUGGUUGUCGUCAGCUCGUGUCGUGAGAUGUUGGGUUAAGUCCCGCAACGAGCGCAACCCUUGUCUUUAGUUACCAUCAUUCAGUUGGGGACUCUAGAGAGACUGCCGGUGAUAAACCGGAGGAAGGUGGGGAUGACGUCAAAUCAUCAUGCCCCUUAUGGCCUGGGCUACAAACGUAAUACAAUGGCGUAUACAAAGGGAUGCGAAAGGGCGACCUGGAGCAAAACUCACAAAGUACGUCUCAGUUCAGAUUGGAGUCUGCAACUCGACUCCAUGAAGGCGGAAUCGCUAGUAAUCGCGGAUCAGCAUGCCGCGGUGAAUACGUUCCCGGGCCUU
Molecule: ribosomal RNA, 477 nt
Filed under: uncultured Erysipelothrix sp.
Lineage: Bacteria; Bacillati; Bacillota; Erysipelotrichia; Erysipelotrichales; Erysipelotrichaceae
Description: bacterial SSU rRNA
Rfam family: Bacterial small subunit ribosomal RNA
Source: RNAcentral